RNAcentral lists this transfer RNA (71 nucleotides) under Desmognathus apalachicolae. Its description in RNAcentral is "tRNA-Ala". The record is from RNAcentral. Lineage: Eukaryota; Metazoa; Chordata; Amphibia; Caudata; Plethodontidae.
ASUAAGGUUUGCAAGACUUUAUCUCACAUACUCUGAAUGCAACCCAGAUACUUUAAUUAAGAUAAAACCCU